This 21-nucleotide non-coding RNA is filed under the name Caenorhabditis elegans. Lineage: Eukaryota; Metazoa; Nematoda; Chromadorea; Rhabditida; Rhabditidae. The record is from RNAcentral.
UUUCACUUGCAUUGUUUCUUC